RNAcentral lists this ribosomal RNA (617 nucleotides) under uncultured bacterium. RNAcentral's name for it is "bacterial SSU rRNA". It matches the Rfam family "Bacterial small subunit ribosomal RNA", at positions 123 to 754 of the family's 1533-position model. The record is from RNAcentral.
AACUUGCCUCUUGGAGUGGGACAACUGUUGCAAACGACAGCUAAUACCGGAUAUUAUGAGAUUCUCGCAUGAGAAACUUAUGAAAGCUAUAUGCGCCAAGAGAGAGCCUUGCGUUCCAUUAGCUAGUUGGUGGGGUAACGGCCCACCAAGGCGACGAUGGAUAGCCGGCCUGAUAGGGUGAACGGCCACAAGGGGACUGAGACACGGCCCUUACUCCUACGGGAGGCAGCAGUGGGGAAUAUUGGACAAUGGACCAAAAGUCUGAUCCAGCAAUUCUGUGUGCACGAUGAAGGUCUUCGGAUUGUAAAGUGCUUUCAGUUGGGAAGAAGAAAGUGACGGUACCAACAGAAGAAGCGACGGCCAAAUACGUGCCAGCAGCCGCGGUAAUACGUAUGUCGCAAGCGUUAUCCGGAUUUAUUGGGCGUAAAGCGCGUCUAGGCGGAAAAAUAAGUCUGAUGUUAAAAUGCGGGGCUCAACUCCGUAUUGCGUUGGAAACUGUUUUUCUAGAGUACUGGAGAGGUGGGCGGAACUACCAGUGUAGAGGCGAAAUUCGUAGAUCUUUGUAGGAAUGCCGAUGGAGAAGUCAGCUCACUGGACAGAUACUGACGCUGAAGCGC